UACGGAGGGGGCUAGCGUUGUUCGGAAUUACUGGGCGUAAAGCGUACGUAGGCGGUUUGCCAAGUAGGGGGUGAAAUCCCGGAGCUCAACUCCGGAAUUGCCUUCUAAACUGGCAGACUUGAGACCGAGAGAGGUAAGGGGAAUUCCGAGUGUAGAGGUGAAAUUCGUAGAUAUUCGGAAGAACACCAGUGGCGAAGGCGCCUUACUGGCUCGGUACUGACGCUGAGGUACGAAAGCGUGGGGAGCAAACAGG
Molecule: ribosomal RNA, 253 nt
Filed under: uncultured bacterium
Lineage: Bacteria
Description: partial 16S ribosomal RNA
Rfam family: Bacterial small subunit ribosomal RNA
Source: RNAcentral